RNAcentral lists this ribosomal RNA (460 nucleotides) under uncultured bacterium. Its description in RNAcentral is "partial 16S ribosomal RNA". It matches the Rfam family "Bacterial small subunit ribosomal RNA", at positions 338 to 795 of the family's 1533-position model. The record is from RNAcentral.
CCUACGGGAGGCAGCAGUGAGGAAUAUUGGUCAAUGGGCUUACGCCUGAACCAGCCAAGUCGCGUGAGGGAAGACUGCCCUAUGGGUUGUAAACCUCUUUUGUCAGGGAGCAACGCCGGCUACGUGUAGCCGGACUGAGAGUACCUGCAGACAAAGCCUCGGCUAACUCCGUGCCAGCAGCCGCGGUAAUACGGAGGAUGCGAGCGUUAUCCGGAUUUAUUGGGUUUAAAGGGUGCGUAGGCGGAAUGCCAAGUCAGCGGUAAAAUCGCGGGGCUCAACCUCGCUCCGCCGUUGAAACUGGCGUUCUGGAGUGGGCGAGAAGUAUGCGGAAUGCGUGGUGUAGCGGUGAAAUGCAUAUAUAUCACGCAGAACUCCGAUUGCGAAGGCAGCAUACCGGCGCCCAACUGACGCUGAAGCACGAAAGCGUGGGUAUCGAACAGGAUUAGAUACCCUUGUAGUC